RNAcentral lists this microRNA precursor (78 nucleotides) under Schistosoma margrebowiei. Its description in RNAcentral is "mir-3492 microRNA precursor family". It matches the Rfam family "mir-3492 microRNA precursor family". The record is from Rfam by way of RNAcentral. Lineage: Eukaryota; Metazoa; Platyhelminthes; Trematoda; Strigeidida; Schistosomatidae.
AGCUUUUUGAAUCCGUGCUGAGAUUUCGUUACACAUCAACCCAUUAGGGCUGAUAAAAGUUCCAAGAUAAGUGAAGGU